Molecule: ribosomal RNA, 460 nt
Filed under: uncultured bacterium
Lineage: Bacteria
Description: partial 16S ribosomal RNA
Rfam family: Bacterial small subunit ribosomal RNA
Source: RNAcentral
CCUACGGGAGGCAGCAGUGAGGAAUAUUGGUCAAUGGGCGCGAGCCUGAACCAGCCAAGUAGCGUGAAGGAUGACGGCCCUACGGGUUGUAAACUUCUUUUAUACGGGAAUAAAGUGAGGCACGUGUGCCUUUUUGUAGGUAUUUUAUGAAUAAGGAUCGGCUAAUUCCGUGCCAGCAGCCGCGGUAAUACGGAGGAUCCGAGCGUUAUCCGGAUUUAUUGGGUUUAAAGGGAGCGUAGGUGGGUUGUUAAGUGAGUUGUGAAAGUUUGUGGCUCAACCGUAGAAUUGCAAUGGAUACUGGCAGCCUUGAGUACAGUUGAGGUAGGCGGAAUUCGUGGUGUAGCGGUGAAAUGCUUAGAUAUCACGAAGAACUCCGAUUGCGAAGGCAGCCUACUAAACUGCCACUGACAUUGAUGCUCGAAGGUGUGGGUAUCAAACAGGAUUAGAUACCCGGGUAGUC